AGACAGCAGCAGCCGCGGGAAUACAGAGGGUGCAAGCGUUAAUCGGAUUUACUGGGCGUGAAGGGCGCGUAGGUGGUUAUUUAAGUGAGAUGUGAAAGCCCCGGGCUUAACCUGGGAACUGCAUCUUAUACUGGGUAACUGGAGUGCAGUAGAGGGUAGUGGGAUUUCCGGUGUAGCGGUGAAAUGCGUAGAUAUCGGAAGGAACACCAGUGGCGAAGGCGGCUACCUGGACUGAGACUGACACUGAGGCGCGAGAGCGUGGGGAGCAAACAGGAUUAGAUACCCGUGUAGUCCCUGUCUCUUAUAC
RNAcentral lists this ribosomal RNA (307 nucleotides) under uncultured bacterium. RNAcentral's name for it is "partial 16S ribosomal RNA". It matches the Rfam family "Bacterial small subunit ribosomal RNA", at positions 506 to 807 of the family's 1533-position model. The record is from RNAcentral.